UUCACAUUCCUGGGAGGAUGCAGCCCUGGCCUGGACCUGGGUGAUAGAAGCUUUUUCCCGUGUUUUUAUUUCUGGAGGGGAGCGCUCGGCAAUUGUCCUGGACACACGCCUCUCCCCCUUCUUCCUCCGGCCACCCGCCGAGGAGAGAGUCCCCCUUUUUUGCAUGUAUCGCUUCCUUCCCCUUUCUUUAUUAAAGGUCCGGGAGUGGCGGCGGCCAAUCAGCGCGCGGCUUCCAUUUUGUGAGUUCAACUCCGAGGCGCCCGGGCUCGGCGAGGACGCGCUCGCAGCCCCCUCUGCCUCUCCUCCCGGGCGGCCGAGGCGAAGGAGCCGCCUCGCUGGGGCUCCGUGGCGGUGCACCUCACAUUGGGGCUCUUUUCGGGGUUUGUAAUCUGGCCGUGGGUAGGUAAUUGGCUGGAGCGGGGCGGCAGGGCGCGGCAGCCAAUCAGCGCGCGGCUUCUAUAGGGCUUGCGUUAUUAGACGCUGAUCUCAAAACAUCCCUCAUCAGACACCAAGGAGAGGCCAACAGAUGAGGGGAGCCAUUUUUCUGCAAUGGAAUUAAAUGGCCAAGUGGGUUUUUCCUUUGUUGCAAAUGGGGAAUGUUUUUCCUUUGACUCCACCAUCCAGUUCAGGACGCCUCAGUGUGUUGUUUAACAUUUGUCAACAGGCCAAAGGACUCACAGUUGGAAGAAAUGGAGAAGACCUUUUUAAAAGAUCUGGAUUUUUCCUUAUGACUUUGGAAUCCAUCUUUGUCUUGUAUAACUAGGUCAUAGCACACCAUUAAUGUCAGCAGUUAACAGUUUUGAAUUCCAAAAAACUAAGUAAAUGACAUAUUUAAUUUUUUUUUUCCUCUUUUUUUUCUUUGGGUGGGUGGUGGGAGCUUGGAGCUGUCUUAAUCUGUAUUCUCUUGACUGAACAAUAAAUUUUUAAAUAUAUAUAGUUUCCUCUAUUAAACACUUAAACCUGGCCAUCUUAUUAACUCCUUCUCUCUUUUUAACAAGGUAAUGUUUUAAAUGUAUAGUUUCAGGACUAGCGAAAUGGCAGCAACAAAAAAUUGUGAGCAGUUGUUACUCUUUUAAGUUUUUAAAAACCUUUUACAUUGUAAGUACCCAAUCCAUUCUGUCCUUACGCAGUGCAGUUUUCAUGUUAAUGUUGCUGAGAUGUCCUUAAUUUUCCGAACUUUCAUCUGCAUGUCUGUCUUUGUCUCUCUUGUCUAAAUAAGCCAGUUAAAAUGCUUUGAGACGGUUUUGCUUUUAUAAAGCUAAGGUUUUAGCUUUACGCUUUUGAAAAUGUUUACAGCAAUAAAUGCUAGUCAGCUUUCUUCCCAGUAGCUUGUACACUUUUUUUUGAAAAUCGAUCUAUUUGAAGAAAAACAGCUCUGUUUUUCUCGUCUUUGGUGGGGGGGUGGGGGGGUGAGGGAAAGGAAGACCUUCUCUUUGUGUGGAGAGACUAAAGCCGUCACAGGAAACUAGAUUAAAACUGGAAAACAAGUCCUAGCUGGUUCGAGCCAAACACCAACGUUAGCUGGGAGUCUUUUCUAUGGUGGUUGGGUGGCUGGUGUCUCUUUUGCCUUUUGUUUGAUUUGACUGUGUAUUUUCGCCUUUUGUCUCUUAAUGACGAUCACACCAUUGCUAUAUCCAGAGCAGUAAACAGUCCUCAGCGACGCCGCCUUUUUGCUAACCCAACCCUGGAAAGUUUGCAGAAGUGGAAGGAGCAGAAAAUGCCAUGAGAGUGUAACUUACAAAAAGGUCUCCAAAACCACCGCCCAGCUUGAUCUUCUAGACUCCAUGGCACCGGGCUGAGCGGGUUCAUGGCCGGAGAAGGGGCGACAUGCGGGUACCCCCAGAGUGGACAGCCCUUCCUUCUGUGGACGGCAGGGGCAGGCCUAGUUUGACUGACG
This is a long non-coding RNA of Carlito syrichta (Philippine tarsier), 1897 nucleotides long. RefSeq lists it as uncharacterized. NCBI's taxonomy places the organism in Eukaryota, Metazoa, Chordata, Mammalia, Primates, Tarsiidae. The transcript is spliced from 3 exons. The record is from RefSeq and is a predicted model, not a curated record.